UUCUCAUUAGGCUAUCGCGCAGCCCAUUAGGUGGCUUCUGCCUUAUCUAGAAAUUCAUUGCCUUCUCAUUGGGUGGCCUAUCACCCCCUUGUCUUCUUUUUUCGAUUCAGUCUUUAGAUGCUCCUAGGGUCUUUUGGGAGCCUUCGGGCCUUUUUCCUAUGUUCGAAAGAAAAAAAAUAGUGUUAGAAAUGGAAAGCAGUGUUUUUCGCACUUUGGAGUAAGCUUGGUACGUAGGUUCCCCGGGACAAAUUUACAAGGCAUAGAAGACAAAGCGUUCCAAAAGGAAAAACAUGUUUACCCACGCAGUGACGAUAAUUGGUUUUGGAAUUACUGAUCGUGGUGAAAAUUUUUAUGAGAUUCAAAAUUCAGCUGGCAACGAUUGGGGAGAAGAUGGGUAUGGUUAUGUCUCGAGGGAUUUGUUUGAGAGCCCACAUUCAGAAAAAUGUUCCCCGAGUACGUGGAGAAGUACGAACAGCAGCAGCUAUCUAAUCAGCCGGUUUCCUAGCAAGUGUCACAAGUCCCUACUCAGCAAGAAAACUCCACACCUUUGUUAGAUAAAAAAAGGUGAAUCUAAACAAGAGGACCAGAAUAAGGUUGAAGCCUCAAGGGAUCUCAAAAACCGAGCGAAGAAAUCUAUCCCAACCUGGAUGCUGUUGUUACUGGUUUCCAUCUUUGGUGCUGUUACGGCAUUGCCAUUGCUUCAACUUCGACAUUGAGACAUCAAGGAGCAGAUGAUCUUAUUAGGACAGUGAACAUGCUGCUUCUUCUGGAACAUCAAUGGACUCCUGUUUUAAGUCCAUAAUAUGUUAGGUUUUUCGUGUAUCUAACAGAACUUGUAUAGGGUAUGUAAAUGGAAGAGGAAUACUCUCGGCUGAUAUGAUUUCUCUUUUUAUUUUACUGCUGGCAUAUGGUUUGUCAAACAUUUGGAGUAUGCAUGCUUGUGAUGUUGUUUCUCCACAUCACGUAAAUUCAGGUUUAUGAAGGCUAGGUCAUUACCUCAAUCUUCCCAAAUAAACAUGUAUCGGUUGAGGUUGAUGUGCGAGUCUAUAUGACAUCGGUCAUAAAGCUAUAUUACAGCACCAUGUUAGUAUGGUACUGCGGUUUCAGGUUUCUAGAUAA
This is a long non-coding RNA of Rhododendron vialii, 1119 nucleotides long. RefSeq lists it as uncharacterized. The transcript has 3 exons. Lineage: Eukaryota; Viridiplantae; Streptophyta; Magnoliopsida; Ericales; Ericaceae. The record is from RefSeq and is a predicted model, not a curated record.